This 510-nucleotide ribosomal RNA is filed under the name uncultured bacterium. RNAcentral describes it as "bacterial LSU rRNA". It matches the Rfam family "Bacterial large subunit ribosomal RNA", at positions 959 to 1469 of the family's 2925-position model. The record is from RNAcentral.
AAUACCGGGAUUCCAAGGGGGGGCAGUCGGACUACGGGAGAUGAGUUUCGUGGUCGAGAGGGAAAGAACCCAGACCGUCAGCUAAGGUCCUGAAGUGGUGACUAAGUGGGAAAGGAUGUGGAGUUACUGAGACAGCCAGGAGGUUGGCUUAGAAGCAGCCAUCCUUGAAAGAGUGCGUAAUAGCUCACUGGUCUAGUGAUUCUGCGCCGAAAAUAUAACGGGGCUCAAGUCACCCACCGAAGCUACGGGUUUGCCUUCGGGGCAAGCAGUAGGCGAGCGUUCUGUUAACCGGAGAAGCCAUACCGUAAGGAGUGGUGGAGGAGACAGAAGCGAGAAUGUUGGCACGAGUAGCGUAAACAAUGUGAGAAUCAUUGUCCCCGUAAAUCUAAGGUUUCCGACGGAAGGUUGAUCCGCGUCGGGUUAGUCGGGCCUAAGGCGAGGUCGAAAGGCGUAGCCGAUGGACAACAGGUUAAUAGUCCUGUACCACGUCAAGUUGCAUGACCGAGGGAG